GCUACCUGCAGUCGAGGGGUAACAGUUCACUUCGGUGAAGCUGACGACCGGCGCACGGGUGAGUAACGCGUAUGCAACCUUCCUUUUACAGGGGAAUAGCCCAGAGAAAUUUGGAUUAAUACCCCAUAGUUCCAUUAAAUCGCAUGGUUUUAUGGAUAAAGUUUCGGCGGUAAAAGAUGGGCAUGCGUGACAUUAGCUAGUUGGUAAGGUAACGGCUUACCAAGGCAACGAUGUCUAGGGGUUCUGAGAGGAUUAUCCCCCACACUGGUACUGAGACACGGACCAGACUCCUACGGGAGGCAGCAGUGAGGAAUAUUGGUCAAUGGGCGCAAGCCUGAACCAGCCAUCCCGCGUGCAGGAUGACAGCCCUAUGGGUUGUAAACUGCUUUUAUAUACCAAGAAACCCAUCUACGUGUAGAUGGCUGACGGUAGUAUAUGAAUAAGCAUCGGCUAACUCCGUGCCAGCAGCCGCGGUAAUACGGAGGAUGCAAGCGUUAUCCGGAUUCAUUGGGUUUAAAGGGUGCGUAGGCGGGCAAUUAAGUCAGUGGUGAAAUCCUGCGGCUCAACCGUAGAACUGCCAUUGAAACUGAUUGUCUUGAGUACACUGGAGGUAAGCGGAAUGUGUAGUGUAGCGGUGAAAUGCUUAGAUAUUACACAGAACACCGAUUGCGAAGGCAGCUUACUAUAGUGUCACUGACGCUGAUGCACGAAAAGCGUGGGGAGCGAACAGGAUUAGAUACCCUGGUAGUCCACGCCGUAAACGAUGAUAACUCGCUGUUGGCGAUACACAGUCAGCGGCUGAGCGAAAGCAUUAAGUUAUCCACCUGGGGAGUACGGUCGCAGAUUGAAACUCAAAGGAAUUGACGGGGGCCCGCACAAGCGGAGGAACAUGUGGUUUAAUUCGAUGAUACGCGAGGAACCUUACCUGGGCUUAAUGUGUUCGGAUCGGUCUGGAAACAGGCCUUCCCUUCGGGGCUGAUACAAGGUGCUGCAUGGUUGUCGUCAGCUCGUGCCGUGAAGGUGUCGGGGUAGUCCCAUACGAGCGCAACCCUUAUCGUUAGUUGCUAACAGGUAUGCUGGAGGACUCUGA
This 1090-nucleotide ribosomal RNA is filed under the name uncultured bacterium. RNAcentral's name for it is "bacterial SSU rRNA". It matches the Rfam family "Bacterial small subunit ribosomal RNA", at positions 50 to 1143 of the family's 1533-position model. The record is from RNAcentral.